GGUCAAGCGAACAAGUGCAUGUGGUGGAUGCCUUGGCGAUCACAGGCGAUGAAGGACGCGGUAGCCUGCGAAAAGCUACGGGGAGCUGGCAAACAAGCUUUGAUCCGUAGAUGUCCGAAUGGGGAAACCCACUCCUUUUGGAGUAUCCAUGGCUGAAUACAUAGGCCAUGUGAAGCGAACGCGGUGAACUGAAACAUCUAAGUAACCGCAGGAAAAGAAAUCAACCGAGAUUCCCAAAGUAGUGGCGAGCGAAAUGGGAUGAGCCUUGCACUCUUUAUUUGUAUUGUUAGCCGAACGCUCUGGAAAGUGCGGCCAUAGCAGGUGAUAGCCCUGUAGGCGAAAACAGUAUGAAAGAACUAGGUGUGCGACAAGUAGGGCGGGACACGUGAAAUCCUGUCUGAAGAUGGGGGGACCAUCCUCCAAGGCUAAAUACUCGUGAUCGACCGAUAGUGAACCAGUACCGUGAGGGAAAGGCGAAAAGAACCCCGGGAGGGGAGUGAAAUAGAUCCUGAAACCGCAUGCAUACAAACAGUCGGAGCCUCGUAAGGGGUGACGGCGUACCUUUUGUAUAAUGGGUCAGCGACUUACGUUCAGUAGCAAGCUUAACCGUAUAGGGCAGGCGUAGCGAAAGCGAGUCCGAAUAGGGCGUUCAGUUGCUGGGCGUAGACCCGAAACCAGGUGAUCUAUCCAUGGCCAGGAUGAAGGUGCGGUAACACGUACUGGAGGUCCGAACCCACUAACGUUGAAAAGUUAGGGGAUGAGCUGUGGAUAGGGGUGAAAGGCUAAACAAACCUGGAAAUAGCUGGUUCUCUCCGAAAACUAUUUAGGUAGUGCCUCGUGUCUCACCUUCGGGGGUAGAGCACUGUCAUGGUUGGGGGGUCUAUUGCAGAUUACCCCGCCAUAGCAAACUCCGAAUACCGAAGAGUGCAAUCACGGGAGACAGACAUCGGGUGCUAACGUCCGGUGUCAAGAGGGAAACAACCCAGACCGCCAGCUAAGGUCCCCAAAUAUAGCUAAGUGGGAAACGAAGUGGGAAGGCUAAAACAGUCAGGAGGUUGGCUUAGAAGCAGCCACCCUUUAAAGAAAGCGUAAUAGCUCACUGAUCGAGUCGUCCUGCGCGGAAGAUGUAACGGGGCUAAGCUAUAUACCGAAGCUGCGGAUGCGUGCUUGCACGCAUGGUAGGAGAGCGUUCCGUAAGCCUGCGAAGGUGCGUUGAAAAGCGUGCUGGAGGUAUCGGAAGUGCGAAUGCUGACAUGAGUAGCGAUAAAGGGGGUGAAAGGCCCCCUCGCCGUAAGCCCAAGGUUUCCUACGCAACGUUCAUCGGCGUAGGGUGAG
This 1335-nucleotide ribosomal RNA is filed under the name Burkholderia cepacia. RNAcentral describes it as "partial 23S ribosomal RNA". It matches the Rfam family "Bacterial large subunit ribosomal RNA", at positions 1 to 1383 of the family's 2925-position model. The record is from RNAcentral. Lineage: Bacteria; Pseudomonadati; Pseudomonadota; Betaproteobacteria; Burkholderiales; Burkholderiaceae.